UACAGAGGCCUCGAGCGUUAGGCGGAAUCACUGGGCGUAAAGCGCACGUAGGCGGAUUGUUAAGUCAGGGGUGAAAUCCUGGAGCUCAACUCCAGAACUGCCUUUGAUACUGGCGAUCUUGAGUCCGGGAGAGGUGAGUGGAACUGCGAGUGUAGAGGUGAAAUUCGUAGAUAUUCGCAAGAACACCAGUGGCGAAGGCGGCUCACUGGCCCGGUACUGACGCUGAGGUGCGAAAGCGUGGGGAGCAAACAGG
This 253-nucleotide ribosomal RNA is filed under the name uncultured bacterium. RNAcentral describes it as "partial 16S ribosomal RNA". It matches the Rfam family "Bacterial small subunit ribosomal RNA", at positions 524 to 776 of the family's 1533-position model. The record is from RNAcentral.